GGCGAGGAACAACAAGGCAACAAUCCAGGUCAACGCGAGGGCAAAGGUUAGCGAACACAAGGUCAGAUCAAGUUAGAGGUGCAAUAUUUAUUAGCUGCUCAGCGGGUCAUUUCAACCGAGAAACUAAUCAGGGAUUGUGCCUUUAACGAGGGCUCCGAUAGGUCCUUUCAGGACUGCAACGGCUCCGCCUUACAGAACACUUGAAUUACUAUUGGAACCCAUUGGUGAGGUAAAGCACACGGACACUAAUCUACACCGAGUGUACUAAACAUUAGGACAUAGACUGACCAGGUAAAGCACACUGACACUAAUCUACACCGAGUGUACUAAACAUUAGGACAUAGACUGACCAGGUAAAGCACACGGACACUAAUCUACACCGAGUGUACUAAACAUUAGGACAUAGACUGACCAGGUAAAGCACACUGACACUAAUCUACACCGAGUGUACUAAACAUUAGGACAUAGACUGACCAGGUUCAGCACACGGACACUAAUCUACACCGAGUGUACUAAACAUUAGGACAUAGACUGACCAGGUUCAGCACACGGACACUAAUCUACACCGAGUGUACUAAACAUUAGGACAUAGACUGACCAGGUAAAGCACACGGACACUAAUCUACACCGAGUGUACUAAACAUUAGGACAUAGACUGACCAGGUAAAGCACACUGACACUAAUCUACACCGAGUGUACUAAACAUUAGGACAUAGACUGACCAGGUAAAGCACACUGACACUAAUCUACACCGAGUGUACUAAACAUUAGGACAUAGACUGACCAGGUAAAGCACACGGACACCAAUCUACACCGAGUGUACUAAACAUUAGGACAUAGACUGACCAGGUAAAGCACACUGACACUAAUCUACACCGAGUGUACUAAACAUUAGGACAUAGACUGACCAGGUUCAGCACACGGACACUAAUCUACACCGAGUGUACUAAACAUUAGGACAUAGACUGACCAGGUUCAGCACACGGACACUAAUCUACACCGAGUGUACUAAACAUUAGGACAUAGACUGACCAGGUUCAGCACACGGACACUAAUCUACACCGAGUGUACUAAACAUUAGGACAUAGACUGACCAGGUUCAGCACACGGACACUAAUCUACACCGAGUGUACUAAACAUUAGGACAUAGACUGACCAGGUUCAGCACACGGACACUAAUCUACACCGAGUGUACUAAACAUUAGGACAUAGACUGACCAGGUAAAGCACACGGACACUAAUCUACACCGAGUGUACUAAACAUUAGGACAUAGACUGACCAGGUAAAGCACACUGACACUAAUCUACACCGAGUGUACUAAACAUUAGGACAUAGACUGACCAGGUAAAGCACACGGACACCAAUCUACACCGAGUGUACUAAACAUUAGGACAUAGACUGACCAGGUUCAGCACACGGACACUAAUCUACACCGAGUGUACUAAACAUUAGGACAUAGACUGACCAGGUAAAGCACACUGACACUAAUCUACACCGAGUGUACUAAACAUUAGGACAUAGACUGACCAGGUUCAGCACACGGACACUAAUCUACACCGAGUGUACUAAACAUUAGGACAUAGACUGACCAGGUUCAGCACACGGACACUAAUCUACACCGAGUGUACUAAACAUUAGGACAUAGACUGACCAGGUAAAGCACACUGACACUAAUCUACACUGAGUGUACUAAACAUUAGGACAUAGACUGACCAGGUAAAGCACACGGACACUAAUCUACACCGAGUGUACUAAACAUUAGGACAUAGACUGACCAGGUUCAGCACACGGACACUAAUCUACACCGAGUGUACUAAACAUUAGGACAUAGACUGACCAGGUUCAGCACACGGACACUAAUCUACACCGAGUGUACUAAACAUUAGGACAUAGACUGACCAGGUAAAGCACACUGACACUAAUCUACACCGAGUGUACUAAACAUUAGGACAUCGACUGGAGUCGACAAGGGGCCAGCAUCCCCGCGGAACGCUUUCGACACCUUGCAGAGUCCGCGCCCCGACGAGAACUGAAGCUCUUCUGAGGGCCAAAGGGGUUGCGCCUCAAUAUCAGGAAGUCGUCCUGUCCACCUCAGUGUAUACGGCGC
This is a long non-coding RNA of Oncorhynchus keta (chum salmon), 2108 nucleotides long. RefSeq lists it as uncharacterized. The transcript has 4 exons. The record is from RefSeq and is a predicted model, not a curated record. Lineage: Eukaryota; Metazoa; Chordata; Actinopteri; Salmoniformes; Salmonidae.